GGUUGCGAUCAUACCAGCACUAAUGCACCGGAUCCCAUCAGAACUACGCAGAUAAGCGUGCUUGGGCGAGAGUAGUACUAGGAUGGGUGACCCCCUGGGAAGUCCUCGUGUUGCAACCC
RNAcentral lists this ribosomal RNA (119 nucleotides) under Helianthus annuus (common sunflower). Lineage: Eukaryota; Viridiplantae; Streptophyta; Magnoliopsida; Asterales; Asteraceae. The record is from RNAcentral.